RNAcentral lists this ribosomal RNA (254 nucleotides) under uncultured bacterium. RNAcentral describes it as "partial 16S ribosomal RNA". It matches the Rfam family "Bacterial small subunit ribosomal RNA", at positions 524 to 776 of the family's 1533-position model. The record is from RNAcentral.
UACGAAGGGGGCGAGCGUUGUUCGGAUUUACUGGGCGUAAAGGGCGCGUAGGCGGCCAGCGCAAGUCAGUUGUGAAAUCUCCGGGCUUAACUCGGAAAGGUCAACUGAUACUGCGCGGCUAGAGUGCAGAAGGGGCAACUGGAAUUCUCGGUGUAGCGGUGAAAUGCGUAGAUAUCGAGAGGAACACCUGCGGCGAAGGCGGGUUGCUGGGCUGACACUGACGCUGAUGCGCGAAAGCCAGGGGAGCGAACGGG